This 73-nucleotide transfer RNA is filed under the name Verrucomicrobium spinosum DSM 4136 = JCM 18804. Its description in RNAcentral is "tRNA-Leu (GAG) (tRNA-Leu-GAG-1-1)". It matches the Rfam family "tRNA". Rfam says of the family: Transfer RNA (tRNA) molecules are approximately 80 nucleotides in length. Their secondary structure includes four short double-helical elements and three loops (D, anti-codon, and T loops). The record is from RNAcentral. Lineage: Bacteria; Pseudomonadati; Verrucomicrobiota; Verrucomicrobiia; Verrucomicrobiales; Verrucomicrobiaceae.
GCUCGCGUAGCCCAACAGCAGAGGCACGGCGUUGAGAGCGCCGCCAGUGCAGGUGCGAAUCCUGUCGUGAGCA